ACUACAUCAUUCUGGAGCCAUAAUACAAACCGAGGUACCUGUGGCUCCAAAACCAUGCACUUGACUCUCUCCCUAGGGCGCCUGAUGGCAGAAGCAACAGCUGCAAAGCUCUUUAGGGGCUUGUUUUCCAAGGGGAGGAGGGUCCAGAGCUCCGACGUCUCAUGAACCUUCUGGCUUCAAGCCCUGAGCAACUUAAUGAUACAUCAUUAGCAUUUGGCAGUCAUAAAUACCAGUCAAAAUUAGACCCUUGGAAACUCUCAGACCAAUCACGUAAAGUUAUCUAGUACUGGAGAAAAGCCCCUUCCGUGGAGAAAGCAGUGCCGGUCUCUUUAAGCCUGAUAAGACUGGUCAGGGACUCACACCACAAGGGAACGGGACGGCCUGUCUGCUUGCUGAGCACCGUGCGGCGAAAGCUGAGAGCUCUAGAAGGUGCCAAGGCAGCGUGCAGAAUGUACUGUCUUAAGAUCUGAAGUAACUCUGGGCAGCAGUGUCUAAGGUGUUCAUCUCCUAAUCCAAGGAGCGGCAGACCAGCUGGGUUGCGAAGGAGCAGUAGAGUGUCCAAGACUGUCCUGACUGUUUGGGAUGUGUCCCCUCCACAUUGCAGUGCUGGGAUGGCAGCCAGCUAUGUGCCAAAAGGAGGUUGAUCCCAACUCCAGAGAGAAGUCUGAUUGGUUUGGGUCAUGCCAUCACAUCAAUCAACUCUUCAGGAAUGAAGACGGCUUCCAAACCCAGGGGCCUGGGAAGAUCAACACAUGCUCAAAACUGAAUACCCAGUUCUUCCUUUUAGUAGCAAGGCUACCAGAAUACAAGUGCUUUCACCGCAUAAGCAGUCGUGUGCAUGGAGGCCAGUCCAGGGCAGAGAUCCCAGAACUGUCAGCUGCCAUCUUCGCCCAUGCACAGAGCAGGUGGAGGAGGCCCAGCUACAGAAGGAGAGCAAGAUGGAGACAGAGGAGUGAGAGAGAAGGAAAAGGAGAGAACAGGAAGAUCAAGGGAAGGGAAAGGGGAGAAAGAAAAGAAAGGGAAGAAAGAAAAGAAAUUUAAUUUAACCUCAGUAGAGAUACAACUGAAGCCAGCUGAUUCCUGAGCUAGUGUAAAUGGGGGUCUGCAACUGAGAGAGUCCUACCUAAUACAGAAGCUGUUCAGUCAGUCAUUCAUUUACCAAGUUAUUGUUUAUCUACUUUAUGCAGGUCACUAAAUGGAUAUGGGUGGGUGGGGGGACACAUGGUCCUUGACCUUAUAGAGCUUAUGCCUGGUAGGGGAAAUAAACAUUAUACACACACUCAUAUUCAAUUUAAAUAUAUACAUUCAGCUUUUCAUCUUAUGGAGGAAAAGAAUAGGGUACUGGGAAAUACAUGGGCGUAGAAUAAGAUAGAGAAGUCGUACAGUGUCAUUAGAAUAAUACUUACAGAAAAUGGCAGUGCAGGUGAGGCGGCAUGGUGUAAUCAGAGAAAACUUCAGUCAUGGUCGGAAGUUCAGGAGCCUCAUCCUAGCUCCAUCCAAAACCUCGAGAACCUUCCUCAUCAGCAGAGAUAUCCCUCGGAGAAAGAAGGCCAUAUGUAGUUCAGUGCCCUAGGAACAUCAUGGUCAUCACUAAAGUCUGCUUGCUCAUUGGUGAAGGCUGACCAACUGGUCUGAGGCUGCCUUCUCUGGCUCGACAGUCAGCUCCGUGCUGGGGCUCGUCUUCCGGGACUGUAAUACCUGCAUGAAUGAUCCUUCAGCUUUCCCUACAGAUGCUUCAUCGUUCCUGCAGAGGUAGCUGUCCAGUUUUGCCAACACCAGCUGUUGAAGAGGCUGUCAUUUCCCC
Non-coding RNA from Manis javanica (Malayan pangolin), 1804 nucleotides. NCBI's taxonomy places the organism in Eukaryota, Metazoa, Chordata, Mammalia, Pholidota, Manidae. The record is from RefSeq and is a predicted model, not a curated record.